UUGUGUGAAUUACAAUAUGAAAAAAAAACAAAAAGAAUUAGCAGAUGAUGAUAUAUUGUUGUAUAAAGAGAAGUUAAACAAAAAAUGAUGACCUGAUGAUAGAAGUUUUCGAAAACUUUCACCACAUGGUCAAAAGCAUUGAUGAUUUUUUUUAUAAAGAUGAAGACCUAAAUGUGUUUCAAAAAAAGUUUAACAAAAACAAGGAAAUGUACAAUGCACUUGUGGAAAAAGUUGCUACACAAAACAAAAAAAUUGAAUGGAAAAAAGAUGAUCUUUUGUCUAUGACCGACGAGCAAAGAGAAGAAUUAAAAAUGCACCAAGAAUAUAUUAAGCAUCAAAUUUUAGAACUUAAUAAAAAGAUAGAAUGGGAUAAGUUAGAAGCAGAAAGGAAAAAAAAAAGAAUUAGAAGAAGAAGAGGAAAGGGAAAGAAAAAAAAAAGAAUUAGAAGAAGAAGAGGAAAGGGAAAGAAAAAAAAAAGAAUUAGAAGAAGAAAAGGAAAGGGAAAGGCAAAAAAAAGUAUUAGAAGAAGAGGAGAAAGAAAAACAAAAAAAAGCAUUAGAAGCAGAAGAGGAGAAAAGAAGACUAAAAAAAAUAUUAGAAGAAGAAGAAGAGGAAAGAGAGAGGCAAAGACAAGAACUGGAAGAACAAGCAAAUUGUAUAAAUUAUGA
Molecule: long non-coding RNA, 668 nt
Filed under: Piliocolobus tephrosceles (Ugandan red Colobus)
Lineage: Eukaryota; Metazoa; Chordata; Mammalia; Primates; Cercopithecidae
Description: lncRNA (ENSPTEG00000015611.1)
Source: RNAcentral